Molecule: ribosomal RNA, 266 nt
Filed under: uncultured bacterium
Lineage: Bacteria
Description: partial 16S ribosomal RNA
Rfam family: Bacterial small subunit ribosomal RNA
Source: RNAcentral
GUCCACGCUGUAAACGAUGAGUGCUAGACGUCACGGGUAUUGACCCCUGUGGUGUCGAAGUUAACACGUUAAGCACUCCGCCUGGGGGAGUACGGUCGCAAAGAUUAAAACUCAAAGGAAUUGACGGGGGCCCCGCACAAGCGGUGGAGCAUGUGGUUUAAUUCGACGCAACGCGCAGAACCUUACCUGGGUUUGAACUGCAGUGGACCGGUGCAGAGAUGUACCUUCCCUUCGGGGCUGCUGUAGAGGUGCUGCAUGGCUGUCGU